Molecule: long non-coding RNA, 209 nt
Organism: Lingula anatina
Lineage: Eukaryota; Metazoa; Brachiopoda; Lingulata; Lingulida; Lingulidae
Source: RefSeq, a predicted model, not a curated record
UCGAACUUCCCCUGACAGGCCAAGAUUUAAACCGUGUUGGGGUACUAUUGAAGACAUUUGGAACGUGGCUGUGAAGUUUCCUUAAAACCAUUUACAAGAUGAACACUUACGUCCUGCUUGCGAUGUGUUUCUCUCUCGCUUUGGCUGCACCGCCCCCUAUAAAGUCGCUGAGAACAAAAAGGGCUGUCCCCAAUCAAGAAGAAUUCUGC